Molecule: ribosomal RNA, 777 nt
Filed under: uncultured Neocallimastigales
Lineage: Eukaryota; Fungi; Neocallimastigomycota; Neocallimastigomycetes; Neocallimastigales
Description: partial large subunit ribosomal RNA
Rfam family: Eukaryotic large subunit ribosomal RNA
Source: RNAcentral
UAUCUCUGUAGAGUCUGCAUAUCAAUAAGCGGAGGAAAAGAAACUAACUAGGAUUCCCUCAGUAACGGCGAGUGAAGCGGGAAGAGCUCAAAUUUGAAAUCUUCAAGGUUUUACCUUGACGAAUUGUAGUUUAAAGAAGUGUUUUCUGUUGGAGUUUUGGUAAAAGUUCUUUGGAAUAGGACAUCAUAGAGGGUGAGAAUCCCGUAUUUGACCAUUAUUUCCAGCUUUGUGAUACACUUUCAAAGAGUCGGAUUGUUUGGGAAUGCAGUCCAAAAUGGGUGGUAAAUUUCAUCUAAAGCUAAAUACUGGCGAGAGACCGAUAGCGAACAAGUACCGUGAGGGAGAGAUGAAAAGAACUUUGAAAAGAGAGUUAAACAGUACGUGAAAUUGUCAAAAGGGAAGCGUUUGACACCAGUGUUGUUUUCUCGAAAAUCAAUUAAAAAAGGCAGGAUUUUGUGUUGUAUUGACUUUAUCAGCUUUCUGCACUUUUUUCCUGUCUUUUUUAAUGCACUUUUCGUUUAACAAGUCAACAUCAAUUUCUUUUGUUGUAAAAGGGUCAUUGGAAGGUGGCUUUCUUUUCGGAGAAAGUGUUUAUAGCCUUUGGCCUCUGCAAUCGGAGAGAUUGAGGUCUGCAGCGUAGAUCCUUCGGGGCUAGAUACGUAGAUGCUAAGUUAUAGUUUUUUAUAGACAACUUGUUGACUAUGAAUUAAGUCAUGUAGCUUACUCGCUUAUGCCUAUUUUACCUACGCUUAGGAUGUUGAGUCAUCACACAUCUCU